GACUGAUAGGAGCCUGGUGUGGACAGGCAAGCAGAAGGGGUGGAAGGUGGCAGCAUGGAAGGACACCCAGCUGCCAGAGCUCCUGCUUCCUGCCUGGUGGGGCUGCUGUGGGUGUCACUGCUUCUGAGCGGCUGAUGGAGCCCAGCAGCCCCCAGGCCUUUGAGUGGAGUGGACCCUCACUCACAUGGGACACCAGGACAUGCACCCCAGUUCCGACACCACAGCCCGGGGCCUCUCUUUUCCUGAUGACCUUGGCAUGACAGCCUGCAGCCAGCACCCUGCAGUCAUCAUGAGCGCUGGCCUUCCCAAGGGACGACCCUGCAGCCAUGCUAAGGCAGGUUCUCUCAGGCUGAUCACAAUUCCUAAUGGGAAAAGCAGCUUCCUCCGCGGGCAGCCGGGCCACCUCUGUCAGGAAGGCCUCUGGGCUCCUUCAGUCCUAAGGAAGGUGGUGCUGAGCCCGCACCGCCCUCCACCUGCAGCGGUGCUGGAUCUGUGGGGACAGCCCGGGGAGGAGCGGCCCCGGCUGUCCCUCUCCAGCAGCGACGGCAUCUCUGUGGCCCUGUUCUCUGGGGCUCACUCCAAGCCGGCGCCCAAACACUGGACGUGCCUGUGACCAGCUCCACGUGGCAUCAGGCAUCUGUGGUCCUCUCCCCGCCACCACGUCUCAUGUCCCACAGCCUCCCACCGUGUCUCAGAAUUGGAGCUCUCUCAAACCUAGUCUGGCACCACAUUUUGUAUCUGGAGAUGUGCUGAUGCUUCCUGUAUCCUGAUAGUUCUUCCUGGCUGUUCAGGAAGGGUCUGCCAGGGUCUUUCUGCUGUGUAAGAAACAUUAACAAAUAAACAAACAGUUGGGGGAGUGAGUUGCCCAAGGUCACGUGAUUUGUAGAUGUCAGGCAUCCUGACUUUUUGACUAGUGUUUUCUGCUUUUAUACAAUUAAGUCAAAACUCAUGUCUGUUUUUGAGAUCAAUUUUAGAAAGUGCAGUCAACUUAGAACAAACGUUGUUUUACAAAACUUUGCCUUGAACAUUACUAUUUUUCCCCAGUGCUUUCUGUGGAUUGUAUGAGCUCAUGGGGUUAAUAGUACAAGUUUUUUCUCACUUAAUGUCAGUAAUCUGUUCUUGAAAACCAUAAAUACUACAGCAAAUUACUAGAAGCUUAUUUCCACUAUUUAAAAUGAGAAAACUAGACUGAAUCACAUUGUUACUCCUACUUACUUUCUUAAACUAUAAAUAAAAUAAUACCAUGCUCAUGUAUAAGUAAGAGACAUUUAAAACAUAGUCUCAAUGAUCUCAGGACAGUUUGUGUGACUCCCGUGACCCGCCUUAGUGCCAGCACCUCACUGACGUCCAUCUUGGUGACGUUUAUCAUGCUUAUGAAAACCUCUGUGUGUGAAGCUCCACUAAUUGUAAUCGGCAUGUAGUUAAUUCUUUCUCCUACUCACCAAUAUGUUAAAAACAUACUGAAUUCUGGGAAAUUAGAGCUACCAGCAUUUGAUGUAUAACAAAUCAGCCAAAACUUCCUGGUUUUAAAAACAACCAUUUUAUUUGUUUAUGAUUUUGGGUUGGGCUUCUUGGGCAGUACCUAUGCUGGUGUCACCUGGGAGCACAACUGAGGUUGUAGUCUUCUGGUGCCUUGACUGAGGCUGGUUCCUGGAAGAGGACUUCACUCACAUGUCUGGUGGUUUGUGCUGACUCUUGGUUGGUCCCUGUGAAUCCAACAGGCAAGUACCAAGCUUCUUCCCAAGAUGAUAGUAUUCCAAGAAGGGAAACUUUGUUUGGGCAAAUACUUUACAGAACUAUGUUUGUGUUUCAUUUACUGGUGUCCCAUUAGACAAAGUAAGUGCACCUGCAAAGCCCAUGGUCAUUUGGGGAGGGAAAUUCAUGAACACAUGGACACAGAAAGGUGUUUCAUUGGGAACCACUACUGGAAAAGUGUACUACAAUAAAUAUAUAUUAUGUA
This is a long non-coding RNA of Galeopterus variegatus (Sunda flying lemur), 1960 nucleotides long. RefSeq lists it as uncharacterized. The record is from RefSeq and is a predicted model, not a curated record. The transcript has 4 exons. NCBI's taxonomy places the organism in Eukaryota, Metazoa, Chordata, Mammalia, Dermoptera, Cynocephalidae.